RNAcentral lists this ribosomal RNA (1384 nucleotides) under uncultured bacterium. RNAcentral describes it as "16S ribosomal RNA". It matches the Rfam family "Bacterial small subunit ribosomal RNA", at positions 28 to 1381 of the family's 1533-position model. The record is from RNAcentral.
GAUGAACGCUGGCGGCGUGCCUAAUACAUGCAAGUCGAACGAAACUUCUUUAUCACUGAGUGCUUGCACUCACCGAUAAAGAGUUGAGUGGCGAACGGGUGAGUAACACGUGGGCAACCUGCCCAAAAGAGGGGGAUAACACUUGGAAACAGGUGCUAAUACCGCAUAACCAUAGUUACCGCAUGGCGACUAUGUAAAAGGUGGCUAUGCUACCGCUUUUGGAUGGGCCCGCGGCGCAUUAGCUAGUUGGUGAGGUAAAGGCUUACCAAGGCAAUGAUGCGUAGCCGAACUGAGAGGUUGAUCGGCCACAUUGGGACUGAGACACGGCCCAAACUCCUACGGGAGGCAGCAGUAGGGAAUCUUCCACAAUGGGCGAAAGCCUGAUGGAGCAACGCCGCGUGGGUGAAGAAGGUCUUCGGAUCGUAAAACCCUGUUGUUAGAGAAGAGAGUGCGUGAGAGUAACUGUUCACGUUUCGACGGUAUCUAACCAGAAAGCCACGGCUAACUACGUGCCAGCAGCCGCGGUAAUACGUANGUGGCAAGCGUUAUCCGGAUUUAUUGGGCGUAAAGGGAACGCAGGCGGUCUUUUAAGUCUGAUGUGAAAGCCUUCGGCUUACCGGAGUAGUGCAUUGGAAACUGGGAGACUUGAGUGCAGAAGAGGAGAGUGGAACUCCAUGUGUAGCGGUGAAAUGCGUAGAUAUAUGGAAGAACACCAGUGGCGAAAGCGGCUCUCUGGUCUGUAACUGACGCUGAGGUUCGAAAGCGUGGGUAGCAAACAGGAUUAGAUACCCUGGUAGUCCACGCCGUAAACGAUGAAUGCUAAGUGUUGGAGGGUUUCCGCCCUUCAGUGCUGCAGCUAACGCAAUAAGCAUUCCGCCUGGGGAGUACGACCGCAAGGUUGAAACUCAAAGGAAUUGACGGGGGCCCGCACAAGCGGUGGAGCAUGUGGUUUAAUUCGAAGCAACGCGAAGAACCUUACCAGGUCUUGACAUCUUCUGACAAUCCUAGAGAUAGGACUUUCCCUUCGGGGACAGAAUGACAGGUGGUGCAUGGUUGUCGUCAGCUCGUGUCGUGAGAUGUUGGGUUAAGUCCCGCAACGAGCGCAACCCUUAUUGUUAGUUGCCAGCAUUAAGUUGGGCACUCUAGCAAGACUGCCGGUGACAAACCGGAGGAAGGUGGGGAUGACGUCAAAUCAUCAUGCCCCUUAUGACCUGGGCUACACACGUGCUACAAUGGACGGUACAACGAGUCGCAAGACCGCGAGGUUUAGCAAAUCUCUUAAAGCCGUUCUCAGUUCGGAUUGUAGGCUGCAACUCGCCUACAUGAAGUCGGAAUCGCUAGUAAUCGCGGAUCAGCAUGCCGCGGUGAAUACGUUCCCGGGCCU